GUCCUUUUGAUUAUAAUUUAAGGUCUAACCUGCCCAAUGAAAUUGUUGAAUGGCCGCAGUAUUUUAACUGUGCAAAGGUAGCAUAAUAAUUAGUUUUUUAAUUAAAAGCUGGAAUGAAUGGUUGGACGAGAAAAAAACUGUCUCAAUUUAAUUUAUAAUAGAAUUUUAUUUUUAAGUUAAAAAGCUUAAAUGAUUUUAAAAGACGAGAAGACCCUAUAGAGUUUUAUAUUAAUUUAAAUUUUAAAUUUUAAAGUAUUUUUUAAUUUAAAAUUAAAGUUAAUAUUUUAUUGGGGUGAUAAGAAAAUUUAAUAAACUUUUCUUUAUAUUAACAUAAAUAUAUGAAUAUAUGAUCCAUUAUUAAUGAUUAAAAGAUUAAAUUACCUUAGGGAUAACAGCGUAAUUUUUUUUAAGAGUUCAUAUCGAAAAAAAAGUUUGCGACCUCGAUGUUGAUUUAAA
RNAcentral lists this ribosomal RNA (456 nucleotides) under Chiron cylindricus. Its description in RNAcentral is "partial 16S ribosomal RNA". The record is from RNAcentral. Lineage: Eukaryota; Metazoa; Arthropoda; Insecta; Coleoptera; Scarabaeidae.